UCCUCCCCUCAGAACCCAGAGAGAAUUCAAAUCCCCACAAGCCCAAGCGACUUUGAGAAAUCCAAACAGAAACAGGGGACUGCUAAAUGAGUGCAGAGCGUAUUGCUCCAUCAAAAUCAAUCUGUUGCCAAAAUGUUCAGAGACUCGCUGUAAAAUCUCCUGUGCAGUUGCCAACUGGACAAGACACACCUAAGCUUAGCAGGCCCAAGCACAUUGUGUCGGAUUGUUUCUUAAGCCUCUCACUUGAUGCCUCUUCUUGGUUGAUGGCUCUGUCCAGUCCACGAGGUAGGUACAGGACAUUUUUCUCAGCAGUGUGCCUGCUGGAAGGCCUCUGAGUGGAAAACCUGCACUGAAGCUUUCAUGCUAGCCCCCUCCAAGGAGUUAUCCAGAUGCAUGUCUGGAAAGAAGCCAGGCAUGAGACUGCUUCACUUUGCUUCUCUUUGUUUUAGGAAUUUGAAGCCACAGCUGCUGUCAAAGGUUCUCUUGGUUUCAUUUGAGAAUUUACCUCAAUAGUAGUUUUGCUCACAUACUUUACUUUCCCCAGCUAUUUUGUUCUUUAGAAAGUUAUAGUUCUAUCAGUGAGUUUUGUUCUCUUCUUAACUGAGAAAGGAGGGGGCAGGUGACUAUGGGUUUUGCUAGGUGGUGCGCUGGUGUAUGACUACAUCAGUGGUCCAAAGCUUGCCCUGAGAGCAAGGGCCUGAAAGUUGUCUCUGUAAUGCAUAUAUCUCAUGGCUGAUGGAUCUUCUUGUGCUGAUCAUAUUUUUAGUAUCAGAGGUGAAAUUUUUCAGAAAACAUCAUUUCCCUUUCAGUUGAACUUGUACAGCUGUUGCAAACACUGCUGCAUGCUGGCAUCAAAAAAAUACCACAUUUUUCUUCUACAGUUUGAACGGGAAAUAAGUGUGGUUUCUGAGAUCCCACUUUGAAGUGGCAGUUGUUUAUAGAUGACUGAAUUUAAUAACUGUAAUUGUACGUGCAGUCCUACUCCAGCUGUGUACUGGGCACCAUGAGUCACUGUCCAAAAACAUCCCUUAGUUUCAAACCCUUCUUAGAAGAGACCACUCUCCAACACCCCUGAACGUCCUCUGCUCCAUUAUUGGGAAU
Molecule: long non-coding RNA, 1101 nt
Filed under: Cairina moschata (Muscovy duck)
Lineage: Eukaryota; Metazoa; Chordata; Aves; Anseriformes; Anatidae
Description: domestica (muscovy Duck (domestic type)) lncRNA (ENSCMMG00000014935.1)
Source: RNAcentral